RNAcentral lists this long non-coding RNA (402 nucleotides) under Struthio camelus australis. RNAcentral's name for it is "lncRNA (ENSSCUG00000002360.1)". The record is from RNAcentral. Lineage: Eukaryota; Metazoa; Chordata; Aves; Struthioniformes; Struthionidae.
CUUGUCCCCUCACUCCUGGGAAAGCAAGACCCUUCCUGGAAAGGGAAGGAGGAUGCUGUGAAAGGUCUCAGACCAGCAACAGAAGCAGGUUUUGGACCUAGACGAGAUGUCGAGAUGGUCUGAGAGAUGGUGGGACUCUCCAGGGAGCCAUCCUUUCCAGGUGCUGCAAAGCUGGGGGUAGAGCUUUAUUCAGUAAUUCACUGCGUCUGGAUUCAGGAAAACUGGCGGCUUAUGAUACAGGCCAUGCUUUGGGGGAAGACAGUCUUUCGCCUGUUCCCUGAGCAGUGAUUAUAGGUCUAACAGGAGACUGAAGUCGUGUUUAAGCCGCUGACAGGCACCUGGCAUUGGUUCACGUGCCUGCUUUUAAAUAAAGCCCCUUUUUUAAAGGGGGGCGUGAGUGAU